RNAcentral lists this ribosomal RNA (482 nucleotides) under uncultured Ascomycota. Its description in RNAcentral is "eukaryotic LSU rRNA". The stretch from base 153 to 306 matches the Rfam family "5.8S ribosomal RNA". The record is from RNAcentral. Lineage: Eukaryota; Fungi; Ascomycota.
CAUUACAGAGUUCAUGCCCUCACGGGUAGAUCUCCCACCCUUGAAUAAAUAUACCUUUGUUGCUUUGGCAGGCUUUCGGGCUUUAACCCCUCUACCUGCCAGAGAACCUCAAAAUCUGAUAUUGUAUUGUCUGAGUAUUUUAUAAUAGUUAAAACUUUCAACAACGGAUCUCUUGGUUCUGGCAUCGAUGAAGAACGCAGCGAAAUGCGAUAAGUAAUGUGAAUUGCAGAAUUCAGUGAAUCAUCGAAUCUUUGAACGCACAUUGCGCCCCUUGGUAUUCCGAGGGGCAUGCCUGUUCGAGCGUUAUUUAAACCCCUCAAGCUUUGCUUGGUGUUGGGGCAUGCCUACCCAGCAGCCCUUAAAAUCAGUAGCGGUGCCAUUUGGCUCUAAGCGUAGUAAAUUUUCUCGCUAUAGUGUCCAGGUGUAUACUUGCUAUUAACCCUUAACUUUUAUGGUUAACCUCGGAUCAGGUAGGGAUACCC